GACCCGUUUGUGUCUGUGCCUUGUUACUGCACUCGCAUCAACCCCACACCAUGCCGCCAGCAACCUGAAGAUUGAACCCGUAGGUUACCCCCGCUGAUCCGCCGCCGUUCUGAUCCGCAAACCAUUGCCAUCACCAUCGCAGAAUCAGAUCUACCCACCACUGCCCUGUCUUUGCAUGGUACCCGCAUCCCCUUCCCUGCCUAAUCGUACCGCCGCCGCACCAAUGCUGGAGGUGUAUGGCAUGCAUCUCCAAUUUGUUAGUCCAGAAAGAAGGAAAAACGAAAAAAGGAAAAAGGGAAGUAAGG
Molecule: long non-coding RNA, 305 nt
Filed under: Malus domestica (apple)
Lineage: Eukaryota; Viridiplantae; Streptophyta; Magnoliopsida; Rosales; Rosaceae
Description: long non-coding RNA (MDOM_LNC012065)
Source: RNAcentral